GAUGAACGCUGGCGGCGUGCCUAAUACAUGCCAGUCGAGCGAACAGACGAGGAGCUUGCUCCUCUGACGUUAGCGGCGGACGGGUGAGUAACACGUGGAUAACCUACCUAUAAGACUGGGAUAACUUCGGGAAACCGGAGCUAAUACCGGAUAAUAUAUUGAACCGCAUGGUUCAAUAGUGAAAGACGGUUUUGCUGUCACUUAUAGAUGGAUCCGCGCCGCAUUACCUAGUUGGUAAGGUAACGGCUUACCAAGGCAACGAUGCGUAACCGACCUGUGAGGGGGGUGGCCCACACAAGAAUAAGAACACCGAACAGAAUCCUAGGGGAGACAACAGUGAGGAAUGUAAAGCAACGGGCGAAAGCUUGACAGAGCAAACGCGCAUGAGUGAGAAAAAUCUUCGGAUCGUAAAACACUGUUAUCGGGGAAGAACAAAUGUGUAAGUAAAUCUGCACGUCUUGACGGUACCUAAUCAGAAAGCCACGGCUAACUACGUG
Molecule: ribosomal RNA, 497 nt
Filed under: uncultured bacterium
Lineage: Bacteria
Description: partial 16S ribosomal RNA
Rfam family: Bacterial small subunit ribosomal RNA
Source: RNAcentral